This 496-nucleotide ribosomal RNA is filed under the name uncultured bacterium. Its description in RNAcentral is "partial 16S ribosomal RNA". It matches the Rfam family "Bacterial small subunit ribosomal RNA", at positions 28 to 506 of the family's 1533-position model. The record is from RNAcentral.
GAUGAACGCUGGCGGCGUGCCUAAUACAUGCCAGUCGAGCGAACAGACGAGGAGCUUGCUCCUCUGACGUUAGCGGCGGACGGGUGAGUAACACGUGGAUAACCUACCUAUAAGACUGGGAUAACUUCGGGAAACCGGAGCUAAUACCGGAUAAUAUAUUGAACCGCAUGGUUCAAUAGUGAAAGACGGUUUUGCUGUCACUUAUAGAUGGAUCCGCGCCGCAUUAGCUAGUUGGUAAGGUAACGGCUUACCAAGGCAACGAUGCGUAGCCGACCUGAGAGGGGGAUCGGCCAAACUGGAACUGAGAACCGGCCCAGACCCCAACGGGAGGCAGAGGGAGGGAAUCUUCCGCAAGGGGCGAAAGCUUGACGGAGCAACGCCGCGGGAGUGAUGAAGGUCUUCGGAUCGUAAAACUCUUUUAUUAGGGAAGAACAAAUGUGUAAGUAACUAUGCCCGUCUUGACGGUACCUAAUCAAAAAGCCGCGGCUAACUACGU